GUCUACGGCCAUACCACCCUGAACGCACCCAAUCUCGUCUGAUCUCGGAAGCUAAGCAGGGUCGGGCCUGGUUAGUACUUGGAUGGGAGAAGUUUGGCCCCAAACU
This 106-nucleotide ribosomal RNA is filed under the name Microcebus murinus (gray mouse lemur). Lineage: Eukaryota; Metazoa; Chordata; Mammalia; Primates; Cheirogaleidae. The record is from RNAcentral.